UCAGCUAGAUGGACCCAUUGGUUAAGUACUUGCAGGAGGGGUUGUUGCCAGAAGAUUGAGUUGAGGCCUAGAGAAUCAAGUUCCAGUCCACACGGUACAUGAUGCUCGAGGGAAAGCUUUACAAGCAAUCCUUCUCUUUGCCUCUCCUUCACUAUCUCAAACCCUUUAAGGUCGAGUACGCCCUAUGUGAAGUCCACGA
Molecule: long non-coding RNA, 199 nt
Filed under: Elaeis guineensis (African oil palm)
Lineage: Eukaryota; Viridiplantae; Streptophyta; Magnoliopsida; Arecales; Arecaceae
Description: long non-coding RNA (EGUI_LNC050385)
Source: RNAcentral